GGGGUAACUUAGAGCCCCCGGGGGUGGCGUGUUAAUAGUGGCGCCUUUGGCCGGGCGCGAUGGUUAGUGAAUC
Molecule: non-coding RNA, 73 nt
Filed under: uncultured Prevotella sp.
Lineage: Bacteria; Pseudomonadati; Bacteroidota; Bacteroidia; Bacteroidales; Prevotellaceae
Description: L13-Bacteroidia ribosomal protein leader
Rfam family: L13-Bacteroidia ribosomal protein leader
Source: RNAcentral